This 266-nucleotide ribosomal RNA is filed under the name uncultured bacterium. Its description in RNAcentral is "partial 16S ribosomal RNA". It matches the Rfam family "Bacterial small subunit ribosomal RNA", at positions 793 to 1055 of the family's 1533-position model. The record is from RNAcentral.
GUCCACGCUGUAAACGAUGAGCACUAGGUGUAGCGGGUACUCAUUCCUGCUGUGCCGCAGCUAACGCGUUAAGUGCUCCGCCUGGGGAUUACGGUCGCAAGACUAAAACUCAAAGGAAUUGACGGGGGCCCGCACAAGCGGUGGAGUAUGUGGUUUAAUUCGACGCAACGCGAAGAACCUUACCUGGGCUUGACAUCCCCGGCCGGCCAUAGAAAUAUGGAUUUCCCCUUCGGGGGACCGGGAGACAGGUGCUGCAUGGCUGUCGU